This 497-nucleotide ribosomal RNA is filed under the name uncultured bacterium. RNAcentral's name for it is "partial 16S ribosomal RNA". It matches the Rfam family "Bacterial small subunit ribosomal RNA", at positions 28 to 507 of the family's 1533-position model. The record is from RNAcentral.
GAUGAACGCUGGCGGCGUGCCUAAUACAUGCAAGUCGAGCGAACAGACGAGGAGCUUGCUCCUCUGACGUUAGCGGCGGACGGGUGAGUAACACGUGGAUAACCUACCUAUAAGACUGGGAUAACUUCGGGAAACCGGAGCUAAUACCGGAUAAUAUAUUGAACCGCAUGGUUCAAUAGUGAAAGACGGUUUUGCUGUCACUUAUAGAUGGAUCCGCGCCGCAUUAGCUAGUUGGUAAGGUAACGGCUUACCAAGGCAACGAUGCGUAGCCGACCUGAGAGGGUGAUCGGCCACACGAGAGGUGAGACGCGGUCCAGACUCCUACGGGAGGCAGCAGUAGGGAAGCUUCCGCAAUGGGCGAAAGCCUGACGGAGCAGCGCCGCGUGGGUGAUGAAGGUCUUCGGAUCGUAAAACUCUGUUAUUAGGGAAGAACAAAUGUGUAAGUAACUAUGCACGGCUUGACGGUACCUGAUCAGGAAGCCACGGCUAACUACGUG